GGUCGGGGACAACAGUUGGAAACGACUGCUAAUACCGGAUGAGCCGAAUAGGUAAAAGAUUUAUCGCCUAGAGAGGGGCUCGCGUCUGAUUAGCUAGAUGGUGAGGUAAAGGCUUACCAUGGCGACGAUCAGUAGCUGGUCUGAGAGGAUGAGCAGCCACACUGGGACUGAGACACGGCCCAGACUCCUACGGGAGGCAGCAGUGGGGAAUUUUCCGCAAUGGGCGAAAGCCUGACGGAGCAAUACCGCGUGAGGGAGGAAGGCUCUUGGGUUGUAAACCUCAAAACUUAGGGAAGAAAAAAAUGACGGUACCUAAUGUAAGCAUCGGCUAACUCCGUGCCAGCAGCCGCGGUAAUACGGAGGAUGCAAGCGUUAUCCGGAAUCAUUGGGCGUAAAGAGUCCGUAGGUGGCACUUCAAGUCUGCUUUCAAAGACCGAAGCUCAACUUCGGAAAGGGAGUGGAAACUGAAGAGCUAGAGUAUAGUAGGGGUAGAGGGAAUUCCUAGUGUAGCGGUGAAAUGCGUAGAGAUUAGGAAGAACACCAGUGGCGAAGGCGCUCUACUGGGCAUAUACUGACACUGAGGGACGAAAGCUAGGGGAGCGAAU
Molecule: ribosomal RNA, 605 nt
Filed under: Aphanothece sp. GSP173-2
Lineage: Bacteria; Bacillati; Cyanobacteriota; Cyanophyceae; Chroococcales; Aphanothecaceae
Description: bacterial SSU rRNA
Rfam family: Bacterial small subunit ribosomal RNA
Source: RNAcentral